RNAcentral lists this unclassified non-coding RNA (267 nucleotides) under Hevea brasiliensis (rubber tree). Lineage: Eukaryota; Viridiplantae; Streptophyta; Magnoliopsida; Malpighiales; Euphorbiaceae. The record is from RNAcentral.
GGAAAUAAUAAUAAUAAUUAAAGAACAGGCAGAGUCAAAAGUUUUUGGGUACAUUACAAGUUAGUCUCUAAGGUCUGUCAAACACCACAACUUAGUCCCUCUAUUUUCAAUUUGAAAUAAUUUAGUCCCUCAUUUUUGCUCUGUCAACAAAUCAGUCCCUCCGUCCAGAUUUGGCCAAUUUACCAUUAAUUAUAGCAAAAAUGAGCAAAAUACCAUUAACUCUAUUUUCAAUUUGAAACAAGUCCCUGCAGUUGUGUUUUAUUAACA